Molecule: ribosomal RNA, 300 nt
Filed under: uncultured Chryseobacterium sp.
Lineage: Bacteria; Pseudomonadati; Bacteroidota; Flavobacteriia; Flavobacteriales; Weeksellaceae
Description: partial 16S ribosomal RNA
Rfam family: Bacterial small subunit ribosomal RNA
Source: RNAcentral
UGUAUCUCCGGGGAUGCGGCCGAGGUAGUACAGCGUGCGGAUGCAGUAUCCGGUUGGACUGGGUUUAAAGGGUGUUUAGGCGGCUAUUUAAACCCGAGGUGAAAUCACUGAGCUCAACUCAGAAACUGACUUGGUGAGUAUUUAUCUUGAAUACAGUUGAAGUAGGAGGAAUAUCUCAUGUAGCGGUGAAAUUCAUAGAUAUGACAUAGAAAACCACUUGCGAAGGCAGCUUGCUAAACGAUGAUUGACGCUGAGGCACGAAAGCGUGGGGAUCAAACAGGAUUAGAUACCCCAGUAGUC